RNAcentral lists this long non-coding RNA (1299 nucleotides) under Coturnix japonica (Japanese quail). Its description in RNAcentral is "lncRNA (ENSCJPG00005012173.1)". The record is from RNAcentral. Lineage: Eukaryota; Metazoa; Chordata; Aves; Galliformes; Phasianidae.
GAUGAGAUGUGGAUGUGACAGAUGAAGGUGAGCCAGUGGCCUCACCCCUACAGGGUCCUGAGGCAGGGCAUGUUGAGACUGUCAGCUUUUUUUUGUGAGCACAGAAGCUAACCAGCUUGAAAAUCCAAUGAAAGUAUUAAGACCUGGACACCUGUCACAUUAUGAGAACACAAUUGCAACAAAUUCUUUUGGAUUUGAUCCAUGUAAUGAGGGCAGAAGAGUAAGGGAAGGUACAAUCUGUCAAGUGCAGGGGAAGCUUCCUGGAAGUGAAAAGCUUUCUAUUGCAUUGACAGCUGUUCUACUUUAAAACAAGCUUGUUCUACUUUUCCUAGAGCUCUGUGCCCCAGCUUAUGUUAGGUGCUGGAACACGUCUGGCAGCCACCAAUGUGAUGGUUAUGGUGUGGCUAAAAAGUCUGCUGGAAGAGGAAAGUAAGUCCAGGAUGGUCUUCCCAGCCUCUGAAAUGAUUACUAGGUGAUUCUGUAACUGGUGAACACUGUGAAUACUAAAUGAGUGUGGAUCUGCCACUUCCCUCAUUGCUCUUUUUGUCCCAGUAAACUCAAGAAAGUACCUCCAUAUGUUUGUUCUUAGAGGCAGACCAGAGCCAAUCCUGAGAAAUCCUGGCUGUAAGGAUUGCGGAUUACACUUUGAAUUCUGCCAUUGCUAAAUAAGGAGAGAGGAAGGAGAGACAAGUACAGCACAGAGCUCUCUCAGGGGACCUUUUACCAGCUGAUAAAGGAUGAGCUAUCUGAUGACUAGUUAGUUUAUAGACUGCCUGAGGGAAUGGCAUGAAGCUGCGUCAGUGGAAGUUAAGGUUGGGUGUUAGGAAAAGGUUCUUCACUACAGACAGAACUACAACAGGCUCCCCAGUCUGCCUUCUACAGACUCUUAUCUCCUGGUCCUGCAUUUCCAAAUGUGUCUCCCAUGGGACUCUCAUACAGAGAGGCGAGAAGAGAACAGAUCCAAGGAUAAGCAGUGUUGAAAGGUAUUGGACGGCUUCUCUCAAGUCUCCUUGGAACCUUCUCCUCUCAAGGCUGAACAACCCCAACUCUUUCAGAUUAUCUUCACAGGAGAGAUGCUGCAGCUUUCUGAGCAUCUUCAUGGCACCUCUCUGGACUCACUCUAACAGAUCCAACAGCUUUACAGCCUGCUCCAGUAAGCAGAGAGCUGAGCUCAGACCUGCACAUACACCAUACAGCCAUCUGCAUCGCUCUAGUGGAAGGGCAAAAGAGAGCCACUGCAGUUACCUGCAGAAUCCUUCCACCACUUCAGUUCUGGCAUUAUUAGCAAAAAUGUCAUAA